ACGGCGAGUGAGCGGUAAAAGCUCAAAUUUGAAAUCUGGUACUUUCAGUGCCCGAGUUGUAAUUUGUAGAAUUUGUCUUUGAUUAGGUCCUUGUCUAUGUUCCUUGGAACAGGACGUCAUAGAGGGUGAGAAUCCCGUUUGGCGAGGAUACCUUUUCUCUGUAAGACUUUUUCGAAGAGUCGAGUUGUUUGGGAAUGCAGCUCAAAGUGGGUGGUAAAUUCCAUCUAAAGCUAAAUAUUGGCGAGAGACCGAUAGCGAACAAGUACAGUGAUGGAAAGAUGAAAAGAACUUUGAAAAGAGAGUGAAAAAGUACGUGAAAUUGUUGAAAGGGAAGGGCAUUUGAUCAGACAUGGUGUUUUUUGCAUGCACUCGCCUCUCGUGGGCUUGGGCCUCUCAAAAAUUUCACUGGGCCAACAUCAAUUCUGGCAGCAGGAUAAAUCAUUAAGAAUGUAGCUACUUCGGUAGUGUUAUAGCUUUUUGGAAUACUGUUAGCCGGGAUUGAGGACUGCGCUUCGGCAAGGAUGUUGGCAUAAUGGUUAAAUGCCGCCCGUC
Molecule: ribosomal RNA, 552 nt
Filed under: Hanseniaspora uvarum
Lineage: Eukaryota; Fungi; Ascomycota; Saccharomycetes; Saccharomycodales; Saccharomycodaceae
Description: partial large subunit ribosomal RNA
Rfam family: Eukaryotic large subunit ribosomal RNA
Source: RNAcentral